UAUACUUUAGUGUAUGAUGCACAAGAAUUUUUGAUGUUCUUAGAACAGUUUGACUCUGUAAUGUAUAA
This 68-nucleotide transfer RNA is filed under the name Nannophya pygmaea. Its description in RNAcentral is "tRNA-Gln". The record is from RNAcentral. Lineage: Eukaryota; Metazoa; Arthropoda; Insecta; Odonata; Libellulidae.